GACGAACGCUGGCGGCGUGCUUUAUACAUGCAAGUCGAACGAGGACCGGGUGCUUGCACCCGGAGCCGAGUGGCGAACGGGUGAGUAACACGUGACCAAUCUGCCCUUGGGAGAGGGACAACCUGGGGAAACCCGGGCUAAUACCGCAUGAUGUGCAGCCAUCGCAUGUUGGCUGCACCAAAGGGGGCCUCUACUUGUAAGCUCUCGCCCAGGGAGGAGGUCGCGGCGUAUCAGCUUGUUGGUGGGGUAACGGCCUACCAAGGCGACGACGCGUAGCGGGUCUGAGAGGACGAUCCGUCACAUUGGGACUGAGAUACGGCCCAGACUCCUACGGGAGGCAGCAGUAGGGAAUAUUGCGCAAUGGUCGAAAGACUGACGCAGCGACGCCGCGUGUGGGAGGAAGCCUUUCGGGGUGUAAACCACUGUCAGGUGGGAAGAAUCGCGCUCGUCCAAACAGGGCGGGCGCCUGACGGUACCAUCAGAGGAAGCGCCGGGCUAACUCCGUGCC
This 508-nucleotide ribosomal RNA is filed under the name uncultured bacterium. RNAcentral's name for it is "bacterial SSU rRNA". It matches the Rfam family "Bacterial small subunit ribosomal RNA", at positions 28 to 509 of the family's 1533-position model. The record is from RNAcentral.